Trametes meyenii is the source of this 107-nucleotide non-coding RNA. The record is from the annotation of a GenBank genome assembly. NCBI's taxonomy places the organism in Eukaryota, Fungi, Basidiomycota, Agaricomycetes, Polyporales, Polyporaceae.
CCUUCGAUAGCUCAGUUGGAAGAGCGUGAGACUGUAAUUGGAAGCUCCAUUACCGUGCAGCUGGCAUGGGCAUCUCAAGGUCACUGGUUCGAUCCCGGUUCGAAGGA